GAUGAAGAACGUAGCGAAAUGCGAUAAGUAGUGUGAAUUGCAGAAUUCAGUGAAUCAUCGAAUCUUUGAACGCACAUUGCGCCCUUUGGUAUUCCUUAGGGCAUGCCUGUUCGAGCGUCAUUUAAACCUUCAAGCUCAGCUUGGUGAUGGGUGACUGUCCUCCCCUCGCGGGGGGACUCGCCUCAAAAACAUUGGCGGCCGGUACAUUGGCUUCGAGCGCAGCAGAAACGCGGUCUCGAGUCCGGUGGAUCGGCUCCCAUAAGUCUAUUCUUUUAUUUUGACCUCGGAUCAGGUAGGGAUACCCGCUGAACUUAAGCAUAUCAAUAGCGGAGGA
RNAcentral lists this unclassified non-coding RNA (334 nucleotides) under soil metagenome. RNAcentral's name for it is "partial contains 5.8S ribosomal RNA, internal transcribed spacer 2, and large subunit ribosomal RNA". The stretch from base 1 to 120 matches the Rfam family "5.8S ribosomal RNA", at positions 35 to 154 of the family's 154-position model. The record is from RNAcentral.